CAGCAGACACAUUCCAGCCAAUCAGCAGCAGACCCUCCCUCCCAGACCCUCCCACCUCCUGGACAGCAUCCAUUUUACAUUCAUUGUGAAGCUGCAUUCUUAGUGAGCUGUCCAGGAGGUGGGAGGGUCUGGGAGGGAGGGUCUGCUGCUGAUUGGCUGGAAUGAUGAGUCCG
Non-coding RNA from Pelobates cultripes (western spadefoot toad), 173 nucleotides. The record is from the annotation of a GenBank genome assembly. Lineage: Eukaryota; Metazoa; Chordata; Amphibia; Anura; Pelobatidae.